RNAcentral lists this ribosomal RNA (141 nucleotides) under Metazoa environmental sample. RNAcentral's name for it is "partial small subunit ribosomal RNA". It matches the Rfam family "Eukaryotic small subunit ribosomal RNA", at positions 1296 to 1461 of the family's 1831-position model. The record is from RNAcentral. Lineage: Eukaryota; Metazoa.
AGUUGGUGGAUUGAUUUGUCUGGUUUAUUCCGAUAACGAACGAGACUCCAACCUACUAAAUAGUGGUCGAAUCUUUCAGUUCGAAUCACUUCUUAGAGGGACAAGCAGUGUUUAGCUGCAUGAGAAGGAGCAAUAACAGGU